This 248-nucleotide ribosomal RNA is filed under the name uncultured bacterium. RNAcentral describes it as "partial 16S ribosomal RNA". It matches the Rfam family "Bacterial small subunit ribosomal RNA", at positions 109 to 353 of the family's 1533-position model. The record is from RNAcentral.
AGUAACGCGUGAGUAACCUGCCUUUCAGAGGGGGAUAACGUUCUGAAAAGAACGCUAAUACCGCAUGAGACUACAGAGCUGCAUGGCUCAGUGAUCAAAGGAGCAAUCCGCUGAAAGAUGGACUCGCGUCCGAUUAGAUAGUAGGCGGGGUAACGGCCCACCUAGUCGACGAUCGGUAGCCGGACUGAGAGGUUGAACGGCCACAUUGGGACUGAGACACGGCCCAGACUCCUACGGGAGGCAGCAUG